RNAcentral lists this long non-coding RNA (1231 nucleotides) under Ornithorhynchus anatinus (platypus). Its description in RNAcentral is "lncRNA (ENSOANG00000048254.1)". The record is from RNAcentral. Lineage: Eukaryota; Metazoa; Chordata; Mammalia; Monotremata; Ornithorhynchidae.
CUCAGCUCAGCCCCUUCCUCCUUUGAGUUGCCUGCGGCGCCCCCCGGCCCACGCUCUUAAAAUGGCUCCUCGGCCCCUCCGCAGUGCGCCAGAUUGAGGUCCAGGGGCUCCUAGCGGGCCAGGGGCGAGGUAGGGGGGGAAUUUUUUCUCUCUCUCCCUCCCUCUCUCCCUUGCUCGCCUGAGGUCCCUGGCUCCGGAUCGGACGACCCCGCCAGGAGACCGGGAGAGUUCGAGCCAUUCAAGUUCAACGACAUGGCGACGCCGGGCUUGGGCAGAACCCGCGUUGUAGCGGGGGCGGAGGAUAUGUGUAUGUUUGUAUACAAAACAUCUUCCACGCUCACGCACUGUGCAUUCGCCGGGGAUUCGACUGAGAAGUCAGGGAAAGAACGAACGGAAAAGAUAAAUCGAAAACAAGAGCAAGUGGGUUUGCUUUUCGGCUGCUUCAUUCAUCGCCUGAGGAAUGGAGCCUCAGGAAUAAGUGUUUUUUUCUUUUUUUUCAGAAGUUUCUAAGGAAGAGUGUUUAUUUUAUUUUUUUAAAGCCGUUUUAGGAGAAAGGGCAUUUGUUUUCCUCCGAACUCCAGUUCAGUUCGAAUAAAUCCAUUUCCCAGGUUCUCUGAAUCAAUGCAUUAUUGUCCUCUGCCGCCUUUGUUCGCUCCGCUUCGAUGAGGAAACCCGAUAGCUCAGACAGAAAUCUAUCGCCCUCUCCCCAGCUCGAUUCCCCUCUCACGCCAGUCAUUCCUCAACUAUGGCGCGAUUAUGGGUUACUUCUACCCGUUACUCUAUCUUCUUCCAUUCACUCCCAAUCGCCAAGAAACCAAACAAACAAUAAUCAGCUUUUAAAUUUUUCAGGGAAGUUUCAAGACCCGGGUGCGAGAAGUGGGAGCGCAAAUUAUUAAGAAUCCGAGGCUUGGCCAGUUUACCUCCUGCCGGCCUUGGCACUCAGACUUUAGUAUCGCCUCAUCCCUAGGCCCGCAGAGAUUUCCGUUCAAACCAAAUUUUGGUCUGGAACCGCCCUGGGAGGCUGCUGACCUUCUCCCUCGGUCGGCCGACACCCCAUGUCAGCGGCGAAAUGCAUUUUCCCUAUGGGGCCACCCAUUCCCACUCUCCCGAGCCGCAGUCCAAUUUCCAGUGGAAUAUCUCGGCGCCUCCCAACGGAGGCAUCGCCCUUAUUUCGGAGAAGCUGCGGCCAACCUCGGGCUCAGACAGAGGCUUUGCCUCCAACUCAAAGGAC